AUGUGCUUCGAGUUCAGCUCCUGUUUCGGCGGCGGCAUAAAGGACGACUACGGCGGCGAGCGGUCCAACCAUGGCGGCUGUGGCGGUCGUCGCCGCGGCCGUGGCCGCAGGAACGACGCCUCCUACAACGGCGAAGCCGACCACAAGCCGGCGCCGGCCUACAACCACCAGCCGGCCAUCGACGAGGCUGGUCGCAAGGCCCACCAUGAUGGCGGGCGGAAAGCUGACCACGCCUCCGUGGUCGCCGGCGCCGGUGGCCACGGCUAUUACGCCGCCUACGCGCCAGACAAGGCCCACGAGGCGCCGAAGCUUCCUGCGUGGCACAACAAGGUCGGGGACGACGCCGGCUAUGCCUACAACACGGCGCGCCUCCGCCACCAGGCUGCUCCUGUUCAUAGGGAGCACGCCGCCAUGGAUUACCACCACUACCCAACCACUACUACCAAUCUCGUAAGGUACUAG
Molecule: ribosomal RNA, 462 nt
Filed under: Triticum aestivum (bread wheat)
Lineage: Eukaryota; Viridiplantae; Streptophyta; Magnoliopsida; Poales; Poaceae
Description: partial small subunit ribosomal RNA
Source: RNAcentral